Molecule: long non-coding RNA, 2341 nt
Organism: Gopherus flavomarginatus (Mexican gopher tortoise)
Lineage: Eukaryota; Metazoa; Chordata; Testudines; Testudinidae
Exons: 4
Source: RefSeq, a predicted model, not a curated record
CUCGAACCAGUAAGAAAGUGGAAUUCAGUGUUUAUCAAACAUUCCCUUCAAAGCCAGUCCAAGGUCUGAGAUAAUGAAAGAGGGAAGCACCCAGGUGAUGAAAAAUGACCACCUCACAGAUAGAUUCCACAGGUAUUCUCACAUCCACCACCUCCUUCCAGAGUCAUUGUUUUUAUUACCAGAGCACCUAGCAGCCCUAGAGAGAUGGGCCCUCCCCAAAAGCUUCUAACCCAACUAUAAAAUGAGACCCAAGCGAAGGAUUUAGACAGACGAGGGGCACAAGGGAACAAUGAGACAAUACGGGCCAGCAUGAUCAGCAGUAGUGUCCGUCAAUGUUUGUGUCGGUCUCGUGGCCAAGGAGAGGUUGAGGAGAAUUUUGAAGGUGGAUAAUGAAAUAGCUUUGAGGGGUUACAGGGAGCUCCUGCCAAGCAUGAGGGGCAAUGCUGGAGAAAGCGUGUGUGGACAAUGGAGGCUGACCUCACGGCCAAUGGGAGAUGGAGGUCGACAUCCUGAUAGUGAAUGAGAGGAGAAAGAGAGGGAGGAGAUAGGCCAGGAAGGCAAGUGAAGACAAGUAGCUUGUGUUUGAUAGGCUAGAGAAUGAGGAGCCAGUGGAGGGAUGCAGAAUCACUAACAUGUUUUGAACAGGGUGCAGAAUAUACAAUUGUCAUCUGGGAAUUGGAACCUGCACCAAGAACAAAGAUGGCCAGCGCACCUUACUGUGGAUUUUUGAAAUGCCAUUUUAAUACAGAAACAGACCAGGAGGUGUUCUUAUUUUAAUAUACAUUUAUGUUCAUAAAAAAGGAUAGUUUAAGAAAUGACUGUCUGAUAAAAUGUAAAUAGUAUUUUGUCUAAUCAACAAAAUUGUCUCUUGCUGCACUCCAAGUUUGUUCACCCACAUGCCAGGUGAUGCCCUCAAUAAAUCAAGUGAUACCACGUGCAUCCACUGAGAUGGUGAAUCUACGAUUCUAUAGUUAAUGACCCAAAAGUCCAUACUCCUAGAGCCACCAGAAUAGCUUUUGUCCAUCAACAUAAUGCCUCCAAACACCAAGGGGCAAUUGAAAGUGUUAACAGGACAAACCCUUGUGACAGGUUCAAACGCCUUUAAACGUGCGACAAUUCCACGGCAGAGUCAAUAAUCUGACACUCUGCAGGGGUGAUCAGUGAAAGGAGUUAAUGCCUCAAUACUUCAGUGACGGAUGGAAGCGGCAAGCAGAGGCUUCUUAGAAAGGCUGUGCCAUGUGGCUGAAGGCCGUAGAGGAGGUAUAUAUAAAGACACAAUCUGCACAGAAAGAAACCAACUGAAAACCUCCCUACGGCAAAGCCAUUCCUUGCCCUUGGCUUCUCCUGCCAUUCCAUGCUCAUUAAAAGCUCAGCUAUGCAUACUUUCCCUCCUAGGGUGAGGUGCACAUUCCUAAUCAGCACAUCCUGCACAGACACCAACUAGCAGCCAUCUCCCAGGACUUGGGGUGAAAGGAAUUGUCUGCAUGACUCCACCUUCUCAAACCAAGACAUUUGCACCACUUUCUGGGUAGUCAGGAGCUAGAUUAAAGAGAUGGGGUUUACCAUCCAGCCUACCCACCAAGUGUCUAGUGGCCAGGGGUGGCUCUACGUAUUGUGCCACCCCAAGCACGGCAGGCAGGCUUCCUUCGGCGGCUUGCCUGCGGGAGGUCCCCGGUCCUGUGGAUUCAGCAGCACGCCUGCGGGAGGUCCCCGAUCCCACGGAUUCAGCAGCAAGCCUGCGGGAGGUCCUCUGGUUCCGCGGCUUCAGCAGCACGCCUGCGGGAGGUCCCCGGUCCCACGGAUUCAGCGGCUUGCCUGCGGGAGCUCCCCGGUCCCGGGGAUUCAGCGGCUUGCCUGCGGGAGGUCCCCGGUCCCGCGGAUUCAGCGGCUUGCCUGCGGGAGGUCCCCGGUCCCGCGGAUUCAGCGGCUUGCCUGCGGGAGGUCCCCGGUCCCGCGGAUUCAGCGGCUUGCCUGCGGGAGGUCCCCGGUCCCGCGGAUUCAGCGGCUUGCCUGCGGGAGGUCCCCGGUCCCAUGGAUUCAGCAGCACGCCUGCGGGAGGUCCCCGGUCCCAAGGAUUCAGCAGCUUGCCUGCGGGAGGUCCCCGGUCCCAAGGAUUCAGCAGCUUGCCUGCGGGAGGUCCCCGGUCCCACGGAUUCAGCGGCUUGCCUGCGGGAGGUCCCCGGUCCCGUGGAUUCAGCAGCUUGCCUGCGGGAGGUCCCCGGUCCCGUGGAUUCAGCAGCAUGCCUGCGGGAGGUCCCUGGUCCCGCAGAUUCAGUGGCUUGCUUGUGGGAGGUUCCCAGUCCCACGGAUUCAGCAGCACGCCUGUGGGAGGUCCCUGAUC